GUGCCAGCAGCCGCGGUAAUACAUAGGGUGCAAGCGUUGUCCGGAAUUAUUGGGCGUAAAGAGCUCGUAGGUCGUUUGUUACGUCGGAUGUGAAAACCUGAGGCUCAACCUCAGGCCUGCAUUCGAUACGGGCAAACUAGAGUUUGGUAGGGGAGACUGGAAUUCCUGGUGUAGCGGUGGAAUGCGCAGAUAUCAGGAGGAACACCAAUGGCGAAGGCAGGUCUCUGGGCCAAUACUGACACUGAGGAGCGAAAGUCUGGGGAGCGAACAGGGUUAGAUACCCUGGUAGUCCAGACCGUAAACGGUGGGCACUAGUUGUGGGAACCUUCCACGGUUUCUGCGACGCAGCUAACGCAUUAAGUGCCCCGCCUGGGGAGUACGAUCGCAAGAUUAAAACUCAAAGGAAUUGACGGGGCCCCGCACAAGCAGCGGAGCAUGCGGCUUAAUUCGACGCAACGCGAAGAACCUUACCAAGGCUUGACAUAUAGGGAAAAGUGGCAGAGAUGUCAUGUCCGCAAGGGCCCUAUACAGGUGGUGCAUGGUUGUCGUCAGCUCGUGUCGUGAGAUGUUGGGUUAAGUCCCGCAACGAGCGCAACCCUUGUUCUGUGUUGCCAGCAUUUAGUUGGGGACUCACAGGAGACUGCCGGGGUUAACUCGGAGGAAGGUGGGGAUGACGUCAAAUCAUCAUGCCCCUUAUGUCUUGGGCUGCACGCAUGCUACAAUGGCCGGUACAGAGGGCUGCAAUACCGUAAGGUGGAGCGAAUCCCAAAAAGCCGGUCUCAGUUCGGAUUGAGGUCUGCAACUCGACCUCAUGAAGUUGGAGUUGCUAGUAAUCGUAGAUCAGCCUCGCUACGGUGAAUACGUUCCCGGGGCUUGUACACACCGCCCGUC
This 891-nucleotide ribosomal RNA is filed under the name uncultured Actinomycetes bacterium. RNAcentral describes it as "bacterial SSU rRNA". It matches the Rfam family "Bacterial small subunit ribosomal RNA", at positions 505 to 1398 of the family's 1533-position model. The record is from RNAcentral. Lineage: Bacteria; Bacillati; Actinomycetota; Actinomycetes.